RNAcentral lists this long non-coding RNA (441 nucleotides) under Nicotiana tabacum (common tobacco). RNAcentral's name for it is "long non-coding RNA (NTAB_LNC001457)". The record is from RNAcentral. Lineage: Eukaryota; Viridiplantae; Streptophyta; Magnoliopsida; Solanales; Solanaceae.
GAAAGCUUAGCUGGCUCCCACUCACAUCUCAUCUCUCUCAAAUCCCUAAAUCACUUCCAUAAACCUAAGUCUGCAGAUUUCCCUCAAAGGCUAUGAACGACAGCAUGUAUACUAAAAUCAGAGCUAUAUAUUUCUACUCUUUCACUCUUUCAUCUCUGUCACAGUAGGUUUGAAACCCGUUUGUGCAGGUUUGGGGAGAAAAUCAAACUAGGAAUGGACGACUAUCUUACCCAAAGUAAGCACACUUUAUUUCUCUAUAUAUAUCCUAUGAGACAAUCUUUACUUAUUACUCCUCAUCUGGGUUUUUGUUAUAUCUAGCUUUUCUAAUGUAUUUUUGUCUUUGUGCUUCUAUUUUGUGGUUGCUCAGCAAGAUUUUGUACAAUCAGUUUCUUUUCAAGAUUGUGUUUUCUUGCGUGUCCUCUUUUUGAAUUGUUUGUAAAA